RNAcentral lists this ribosomal RNA (494 nucleotides) under uncultured bacterium. RNAcentral describes it as "partial 16S ribosomal RNA". It matches the Rfam family "Bacterial small subunit ribosomal RNA", at positions 31 to 507 of the family's 1533-position model. The record is from RNAcentral.
GAACGCUGGCGGCGUGCCUAAUACAUGCAAGUCGAGCGAACAGACGAGGAGCUUGCUCCUCUGACGUUAGCGGCGGACGGGUGAGUAACACGUGGAUAACCUACCUAUAAGACUGGGAUAACUUCGGGAAACCGGAGCUAAUACCGGAUAAUAUAUUGAACCGCAUGGUUCAAUAGUGAAAGACGGUUUUGCUGUCACUUAUAGAUGGAUCCGCGCCGCAUUAGCUAGUUGGUAAGGUAACGGCUUACCAAGGCGACGAUGCGUAGCCGACCUGAGAGGGUGAUCGGCCACACUGGAACUGAGACACGGUCCAGACUCCUACGGGAGGCAGCAGUAGGGAAUCUUCCGCAAUGGGCGAAAGCCUGACGGAGCAACGCCGCGUGAGUGAUGAAGGUCUUCGGAUCGUAAAACUCUGUUAUUAGGGAAGAACAAAUGUGUAAGUAACUAUGCACGUCUUGGCGGUACCUAAUCAGAAAGCCACGGCUAACUACAUG